Rattus rattus (black rat) is the source of this 547-nucleotide long non-coding RNA. RefSeq lists it as uncharacterized. Lineage: Eukaryota; Metazoa; Chordata; Mammalia; Rodentia; Muridae. The record is from RefSeq and is a predicted model, not a curated record. The transcript is spliced from 2 exons.
UCAUAUCACUAUAGAUGUAUAGAUGUGUGAUGACGACUGUUAUAUAUGAUGACAGUUCAUUCACUAUACAUGUAUAGAUAGUGUGAUGACGACUGUGAUAUAUGAUAAUAGUUCUUUUCCUACACAGGUUUUGCUUUUCCAUGAGGACGAGAAUUCUCCCCUAUAGGUCGCACUUUGAUGGCUAUACUUACCCAUAUAGGACAGUGGAGCCGGACCCCCAGCUCACAGCACAUAUGGAAAUUAGCUACCAACGAGCCCGGGGCGUAAACAUGCAAGACGAGGGCGCAAACGCUUGGGAGAAGAGUGGGUCCUUGUGAUGUUGGCGAAUCAGAACGCAAUGCACCGGAAAUGGCAGGGUGCCCAGACUGCCUUGGGGGAAUCAGAAUGGAGGCCAGAACCGAUCUUUUUCUUGAAGCUCUGCGUACCAGCCGAUUUGGAGGAAAAGAUGGCCCUCCCUCCCUCCCUCCCUUCCUUCCUCCCUCCCUCCCUUUUGACCCAUUUUCCCUCUUCCCCGAUACACUCAAUAAAUUUAAAGUAAAUCAAUGAA